ACACUGCAGACGGCUCAGUAACACGUGGUCAAGCUAACCUAUGGACGCGGAUAACCUCGGGAAACUGAGAAUAAACCGCGAUAGAUCAUGGUGCCUGGAAUGGCCCAUGGUCCAAAUAGUUUACUGCCGUAGGAUGCGACUGCGGCCUAUCAGUUUGUUGGUGAGGUAAUGGCCCACCAAGACUAUUACAGGUACGGGCUCUGAGAGGAGAAGCCCGGAGAUGGGUACUGAGACACGGACCCAGGCCCUAUGGGGCGCAGCAGGCGAGAAACCUUAGCAAUGUGCGAAAGCACGACUGGGUUAGUCCGAGUGAUUCCUGCUAAAGGAAUCUUUUGCCGGUCCUAAAAGCACCGGUGAAUAAGGGGUGGGCAAGUCUGGUGUCAGCCGCCGCGGUAAUACCAGCACCUCGAGUAAUCAGGACGUUUAUUGGGCCUAAAGCAUCCGUAGCUGGCUUUGCAAGUCUCCGGUUAAAUCAACCUGCUCAACAGAUUGGCCGCUGGAGAUACUACAAAGCUAGGGAGUGGGAGAGGCGGACGGUACUCCGAGGGUAGGGGUAAAAUCCUUUGAUCCCCGGAAGACCACCAG
This 585-nucleotide ribosomal RNA is filed under the name uncultured archaeon. RNAcentral's name for it is "bacterial SSU rRNA". It matches the Rfam family "Archaeal small subunit ribosomal RNA", at positions 76 to 663 of the family's 1478-position model. The record is from RNAcentral.